RNAcentral lists this long non-coding RNA (1659 nucleotides) under Homo sapiens (human). Its description in RNAcentral is "HSALNT0250208". Lineage: Eukaryota; Metazoa; Chordata; Mammalia; Primates; Hominidae. The record is from RNAcentral.
GUGGAACUUGGGAUUCGAACGGCAGGCGGGAAGUGCUCUAGCAGGGGAGUCUGACCUUGUGAGGGAAUACCUGUGUCCCCCCUUUUUUCCCCUUUUUACCCAAUAAAACCCUGCCUUACUCACCCUUUAAAUCAUCUGCGAGCCUGAAUUUUCAUGGCCGUGGGACGGACAAGAACUUUAUCUUCAGCUGAACUAAGAAAAAGUCCUGCAACAUUUUUGGCGCGCAAUGUGGGGGCACCAGAAGCGGGCACCGUUGAGCUGUUGCAACUGUUCUGCUGGAGCCUUAUGUAUGUGGUUGAAACCACCUGUACUACUGGAAUGAAAGCACCUUUACAGAAGAGGCAAUGCAAGUUGUAUUCAUCACAUGUGUAGAAUGAAUUAAGAUUUAUGCCAGUUGCAAAGAAGAAUAUUGGCUCACUAUUUUUCCUCUGGGCAUGUGGAAAUGUAAAUCAGUCCAUGUUACUCACCUCGGAGAAGCAGAAGUACGAUUUACUAUUGUUGCUUGCUUACUUACUCUUAUCAAUUUCUAUGAGAGAAAGAGACCUCAAGUAAACCUCCAGCAGCCAUCUGGACUUCCAUGAAAACAGAACAAUCAGUGAGAUGCAGAGCUUGGAGGAGACAGUUUCCAUAGACUGAAGCACGUGCUGAAGCAAAGUUCACACUUGCAGGAUUAGAAGAGGUUGACCGAAAGAAGGAAGGACAUGGACAGCUAUGUUGUUGUGGAGUCCUGUUUUAUAGUCAUAACCUUGAGUCAAGUGAGUUUGUCUGGACAGACAGAGCUUGUUGCCUUUACUUAUAGGGAAGGCACCGGACACAGACAGCCUCAAGGACAUUUGUUCUAGCCUUUCAGUAUCCUUUCUCUUAAUUAUCUCACCUCAUCCAUGAAGCUGGUAUGUACGAUUUUUCCUUUCUUUCUCAAUCCUUUAAAAAAUUAAAGCUCUAAAUCUCAUUUCCACUUAGAUUUUAAUGUUGCAUUGUAACUUAAGAUAAAACCUUGCUCUGAUGUUAAAAAUACUAAAGUAAGAAGCAAUAUGGCAUAGUGCUUAUGAGCAGGACUACAUAGUUCUUUCUGAAUACAAAUCUCAGAUAAAACACUAUCUCAGUGAUCAACCAGGUUAAGCAACCUUUUUAGUGCCUCAAUUAUUCCAUUUGUAAAAUUGUAAUAAUGAUAGUACUAACCUAUAAGAUUGUGGUGAGGAUUAAGUCAGAUAAUACAAAAGAAGCAUUUAGAGUAUUUCCUGGCAUUAUCUACCAUUUAUUGAAUUUUUAUGGUUAAGAAGAAUAAGGAAAAGCAGAAGAAAAGGAAAAGAGAAAAAAUACAUAAGAAGAAGGAAGAGUGGUAAGCUCUAGUAAAUUACAACAAACGGUAACGUAGAAAACAUUUGUUAGCCCUUAAUAUAGGCCAGGCACUGUGUUCAAUGCUUAAACCUCAUUACUGUUCUUUGAAGUGGAUAACAUUAUUCCUUCCAUUUUAAAGAAAGGAAUACUAAAGACAACUUUGUCAAUAUUAUUCAUGUAAUAAAUGACAGAAUUUGACCAAGACAAUAGAGAAUGAACUCUUAAUCACUAUAUUGUUUUAUUUUUUGAAAAUAGAUUUUAAGUUCUUAUUAAAUGUUAAUGACUCACAUCAAAAUAAAGCCAAUCAAAAUUGACAGCAAU